ACCUGCCCUUAACUCUGGGAUAAGCCUUGGAAACGGGGUCUAAUACUGGAUAUUGACUUUACCUCGCAUGGGGUUUGGUUGAAAGAUUUAUUGGUUUUGGAUGGACUCGCGGCCUAUCAGCUUGUUGGUGAGGUAAUGGCUCACCAAGGCGACGACGGGUAGCCGGCCUGAGAGGGUGACCGGCCACACUGGGACUGAGACACGGCCCAGACUCCUACGGGAGGCAGCAGUGGGGAAUAUUGCACAAUGGGCGAAAGCCUGAUGCAGCGACGCCGCGUGAGGGAUGACGGCCUUCGGGUUGUAAACCUCUUUCAGUAGGGAACAAGGCCAGCAUUUUUGUUGGUUGAGGGUACUUGCAGAAGAAGCGCCGGCUAACUACGUGCCAGCAGCCGCGGUAAUACGUAGGGCGCAAGCGUUAUCCGGAAUUAUUGGGCGUAAAGAGCUCGUAGGCGGUUUGUCGCGUCUGCCGUGAAAGUCCGGGGCUCAACUCCGGAUCUGCGGUGGGUACGGGCAGACUAGAGUGAUGUAGGGGAGACUGGAAUUCCUGGUGUAGCGGUGAAAUGCGCAGAUAUCAGGAGGAACACCGAUGGCGAAGGCAGGUCUCUGGGCAUUAACUGACGCUGAGGAGCGAAAGCAUGGGGAGCGAACAGGAUUAGAUACCCUGGUAGUCCAUGCCGUAAACGUUGGGCACUAGGUGUGGGGGACAUUCCACGUUUUCCGCGCCGUAGCUAACGCAUUAAGUGCCCCGCCUGGGGAGUACGGCCGCAAGGCUAAAACUCAAAGGAAUUGACGGGGGCCCGCACAAGCGGCGGAGCAUGCGGAUUAAUUCGAUGCAACGCGAAGAACCUUACCAAGGCUUGACAUGAACUGGAAAUACCUGGAAACAGGUGCCCCGCUUGCGGUCGGUUUACAGGUGGUGCAUGGUUGUCGUCAGCUCGUGUCGUGAGAUGUUGGGUUAAGUCCCGCAACGAGCGCAACCCUCGUUCUAUGUUGCCAGCACGUGAUGGUGGGGACUCAUAGGAGACUGCCGGGGUCAACUCGGAGGAAGGUGAGGACGACGUCAAAUCAUCAUGCCCCUUAUGUCUUGGGCUUCACGCAUGCUACAAUGGCCGGUACAAUGGGUUGCGAUACUGUGAGGUGGAGCUAAUCCCAAAAAGCCGGUCUCAGUUCGGAUUGGGGUCUGCAACUCGACCCCAUGAAGUCGGAGUCGCUAGUAAUCGCAGAUCAGCAACGCUGCGGUGAAUACGUUCCCGGGCCUUGUACACAC
This 1267-nucleotide ribosomal RNA is filed under the name Arthrobacter sp. 5(2016). RNAcentral's name for it is "bacterial SSU rRNA". It matches the Rfam family "Bacterial small subunit ribosomal RNA", at positions 124 to 1390 of the family's 1533-position model. Lineage: Bacteria; Bacillati; Actinomycetota; Actinomycetes; Micrococcales; Micrococcaceae. The record is from RNAcentral.